GGACGAACGCUGGCGGCGUGCUUACACAUGCCAGUCGAGCGAUGAAGCACCUUCGGGUGUGAAUUAGCGGCGAACCGGGUGAGGAACACGUGAGAAAUCUGCCUUCAACUCUGGGAUAACUCCGGGAAACCGGGGCUAAUACCGGAUAUGAGCCUUGAUCGCAUGAUCGGGGCUGGAAAGUUUUUCGGUUGAAGAUGAUCUCGCGGCCUAUCAGCUUGUUGGUGAGGUAAUGGCUCACCAAGGCGACGACGGGUAGCCGGCCUGAGAGGGCGACCGGCCACACUGGGACUGAGACACGGCCCAGACUCCUACGGGAGGCAGCAGUGGGGAAUAUUGGGCAAUGGAGGAAACUCUGACCCAGCGACGCCGCGUGAGGGAUGAAGGCCUUCGGGUUGUAAACCUCUUUCAGUAGGGAAGAAGCGAAAGUGACGGUACCUACAGAAGAAGCACCGGCUAACUAUGUGCCAGCAGCCGCGGUAAUACAUAGGGUGCAAGCGUUGUCCGGAAUUAUUGGGCGUAAAGAGCUCGUAGGUGGUUCGAUACGUCGGAUGUGAAAAUCAGGGGCUCAACCCCUGACCUGCAUUCGAUACGGUCGAGCUAGAGUGUGGUAGGGGAGACUGGAAUUCCUGGUGUAGCGGUGGAAUGCGCAGAUAUCAGGAGGAACACCGAUGGCGAAGGCAGGUCUCUGGGCCAUUACUGACACUGAGGAGCGAAAGCGUGGGGAGCGAACAGGACUAGAUACCCUGGUAGUCCACGCCGUAAACGGUGGGCGCUAGUUGUGCGAACCUUCCACAGUUUGUGCGACGCAGCUAACGCAUUAAGCGCCCCGCCUGGGGAGUACGAUCGCAAGAUUAAAACUCAAAGGAA
RNAcentral lists this ribosomal RNA (867 nucleotides) under uncultured Micrococcineae bacterium. Its description in RNAcentral is "bacterial SSU rRNA". It matches the Rfam family "Bacterial small subunit ribosomal RNA", at positions 27 to 909 of the family's 1533-position model. The record is from RNAcentral. Lineage: Bacteria; Bacillati; Actinomycetota; Actinomycetes; Micrococcales.